Molecule: ribosomal RNA, 460 nt
Filed under: uncultured Chitinophagaceae bacterium
Lineage: Bacteria; Pseudomonadati; Bacteroidota; Chitinophagia; Chitinophagales; Chitinophagaceae
Description: bacterial SSU rRNA
Rfam family: Bacterial small subunit ribosomal RNA
Source: RNAcentral
CCUACGGGCGGCUGCAGUGGGGAAUAUUGGACAAUGGAGGAAACUCUGAUCCAGCCAUGCCGCGUGAUAGAUGAAGGCCCUCUGGGUUGUAAAUAUCUUUUAUCUGGGAAGAAACAAUCUUAUUCUUAAGAUCUUGACGGUACCAGAGGAAUAAGCACCGGCUAACUCCGUGCCAGCAGCCGCGGUAAUACGGAGGGUGCAAGCGUUAUCCGGAUUCACUGGGUUUAAAGGGUGCGUAGGCGGGCUGAUAAGUCAGUGGUGAAAGCUCCGAGCUUAACUUGGAAACUGCCAUUGAUACUGCCAGUCUUGAAUGUCGUAGAGGUAAGCGGAAUGUUGCAUGUAGCGGUGAAAUGCUUAGAUAUGUUACAGAACACCAAUUGCGAAGGCAGCUUACUAUGCGAUGAUUGACGCUGAGGCACGAAAGCGUGGGGAGCAAACAGGAUUAGAUACCCCUGUAGUC